This 253-nucleotide ribosomal RNA is filed under the name uncultured bacterium. Its description in RNAcentral is "partial 16S ribosomal RNA". It matches the Rfam family "Bacterial small subunit ribosomal RNA", at positions 524 to 776 of the family's 1533-position model. The record is from RNAcentral.
UACGGAGGGAGCUAGCGUUGUUCGGAAUUACUGGGCGUAAAGGGCUCGUAGGCGGCCAACUAAGUCGGAUGUGAAAUCCCCAGGCUCAACUUGGGAACUGCAUCCGAUACUGGAUGGCUUGAAUCCGGGAGAGGGAUGCAGAAUUCCAGGUGUAGCGGUGAAAUGCGUAGAUAUCUGGAGGAAUACCGGUGGCGAAGGCGGCAUCCUGGACCGGCAUUGACGCUGAGGAGCGAAAGCGUGGGGAGCGAACAGG